RNAcentral lists this ribosomal RNA (497 nucleotides) under uncultured bacterium. RNAcentral describes it as "partial 16S ribosomal RNA". It matches the Rfam family "Bacterial small subunit ribosomal RNA", at positions 28 to 507 of the family's 1533-position model. The record is from RNAcentral.
GAUGAACGCUGGCGGCGUGCCUAAUACAUGCAAGUCGAGCGAACAGACGAGAAGCUUGCUCCUCUGACGUUAGCGGCGGACGGGUGAGUAACACGUGGAUAACCUACCUAUAAGACUGGGAUAACUUCGGGAAACCGGAGCUAAUACCGGAUAAUAUAUUGAACCGCAUGGUUCAAUAGUGAAAGACGGUCUUGCUGUCACUUAUAGAUGGAUCCGCGCUGCAUUAGCUAGUUGGUAAGGUAACGGCUUACCAAGGCGACGAUGCGUAGCCGACCUGAGAGGGUGAUCGGCCACACUGGAACUGAGACACGGUCCAGACUCCUACGGGAGGCAGCAGUAGGGAAUCUUCCGCAAUGGGCGAAAGCCUGACGGAGCAACGCCGCGUGAGUGAUGAAGGUCUUCGGAUCGUAAAACUCUGUUAUUAGGGAAGAACAAAUGUGUAAGUAACUAUGCACGUCUUGACGGUACCUAAUCAGAAAGCCACGGCUAACUACGUG